This 174-nucleotide unclassified non-coding RNA is filed under the name uncultured Ostropales. RNAcentral describes it as "sequence contains ITS1". The record is from RNAcentral. Lineage: Eukaryota; Fungi; Ascomycota; Lecanoromycetes.
ACGAAGUUGGGUCCCCUGUGGGCCCAAUCUCCAACCCUCUGUCUACCUGAAACUCCUGUUGCUUUGGCGGGCCGUCGGGUUCGACCCACCGUCGGCUCUGGCUGAUGUGUGCCCGCCAGAGUCAAUCUUACAACCCUUUUUAUUCUGACGUCUGAGUGGAAUAUGAAAUUAUCA